GAUGAACGCUAGCUACAGGCUUAACACAUGCAAGUCGAGGGGCAUCAGUUUGGUUUGCUUGCAAACCAAAGCUGGCGACCGGCGCACGGGUGAGUAGCACGUAUCCAACCUGCCUCAUACUCGGGGAUAGCCUUUCGAAAGAAAGAUUAAUAUCCGAUAGCAUAUAUUUCCCGCAUGGGUUUAUAUUAAAGAAAUUCGGUAUGAGAUGGGGAUGCGUUCCAUUAGUUUGGUUGGGGGACGGGUACCCGGACCCAACG
Molecule: ribosomal RNA, 257 nt
Filed under: uncultured bacterium
Lineage: Bacteria
Description: partial 16S ribosomal RNA
Rfam family: Bacterial small subunit ribosomal RNA
Source: RNAcentral